Molecule: ribosomal RNA, 351 nt
Filed under: uncultured bacterium
Lineage: Bacteria
Description: bacterial SSU rRNA
Rfam family: Bacterial small subunit ribosomal RNA
Source: RNAcentral
GGACCCGCACAAGCGGUGGAGCAUGUGGUUUAAUUCGAUGCAACGCGAAAAACCUUACCUAUACUUGACAUACUUGGAAUGCUUUGUAAUGAAGCAGUGCCUUCGGGAGCCAGGAUACAGGUGCUGCAUGGCUGUCGUCAGCUCGUGUCGUGAGAUGUUCCGUUAAGUCGGAUAACGAGCGCAACCCUUACCCUUAUUUGCCAGCGAUUCGGUCGGGAACUAUAAGGGGACUGCCGGUGAUAAACCGGAGGAAGGUGAGGACGACGUCAAGUCAUCAUGGCCCUUACGAGUAGGGCUACACACGUGCUACAAUGGGGAAUACAGACGGACGCAAUACCGCGAGGUGGAGCA